RNAcentral lists this ribosomal RNA (762 nucleotides) under uncultured bacterium. RNAcentral describes it as "bacterial SSU rRNA". It matches the Rfam family "Bacterial small subunit ribosomal RNA", at positions 28 to 776 of the family's 1533-position model. The record is from RNAcentral.
AUUGAACGCUGGCGGCAGGCUUAACACAUGCAAGUCGGACGGUAACAGGGAGGAAGCUUGCUUUCUUUGCUGACGAGUGGCGGACGGGUGAGUAAUGCUUGGGAAUCUGUUUUAUGGAGGGGGAUAACUACGGGAAACUGUAGCUAAUACCGCGUAAUAUCGAGAGAUUAAAGUGUGGGACCGUAAGGCCACAUGCCAUAGAGUGAGCCCAAGUGGGAUUAGGUAGUUGGUGGGGUAAAGGCCUACCAAGCCGUCGAUCUCUAGCUGGUCUGAGAGGAUGACCAGCCACACUGGGACUGAGACACGGCCCAGACUCCUACAGGAGGCAGCAGUGGGGAAUAUUGCACAAUGGGCGCAAGCCUGAUGCAGCCAUGCCGCGUGAAUGAAGAAGGCCUUCGGGUUGUAAAGUUCUUUCGGUGGUGAGGAAGGUUGUAAUGUUAAUAGCAUUAUAAUUUGACGUUAGCCACAGAAGAAGCACCGGCUAACUCCGUGCCAGCAGCCGCGGUAAUACGGAGGGUGCGAGCGUUAAUCGGAAUAACUGGGCGUAAAGGGCACGCAGGCGGAUACUUAAGUGAGGUGUGAAAGCCCUGGGCUUAACCUAGGAAUUGCAUUUCAUACUGGGUAUCUAGAGUAUUUUAGGGAGGGGUAGAAUUCCACGUGUAGCGGUGAAAUGCGUAGAGAUGUGGAGGAAUACCGAAGGCGAAGGCAGCCCCUUGGGGGGAAUACUGACGCUCAUGUGCGAAAGCGUGGGGAGCAAACAGG